AGAGCGAACGCUGGCGGCAGGCCUAACACAUGCAAGUCGAGCGCCCCGCAAGGGGAGCGGCAGACGGGAGAGUAACACGUGGGAACGUACCCUUCAGUUCGGAACAACCCAGGGAAACUUGGGCUAAUACCGAAUACGUCCGUAAGGAGAAAGAUUUAUCGCUGAAGGAUCGGCCCGCGUCUGAUUAGCUAGUUGGUGAGGUAACGGCUCACCAAGGCUACGAUCAGUAGCUGGUCUGAGAGGAUGAUCAGCCUCACUGGGACUGAGACACGGCCCAGACUCCUACGGGAGGCAGCAGUGGGGAAUAUUGGACAAUGGGCGCAAGCCUGAUCCAGCCAUGCCGCGUGGAUGAUGAAGGCCUUAGGGUUGUAAAGUCCUUUCGACGGGGAAGAUAAUGACGGUACCCGUAGAAGAAGCCCCGGCUAACUUCGCGCCAGCAGCCGC
RNAcentral lists this ribosomal RNA (444 nucleotides) under uncultured bacterium. Its description in RNAcentral is "SSU rRNA". It matches the Rfam family "Bacterial small subunit ribosomal RNA", at positions 26 to 518 of the family's 1533-position model. The record is from RNAcentral.